This 324-nucleotide ribosomal RNA is filed under the name uncultured eukaryote. Its description in RNAcentral is "partial 18S ribosomal RNA". It matches the Rfam family "Eukaryotic small subunit ribosomal RNA", at positions 1470 to 1796 of the family's 1831-position model. The record is from RNAcentral.
CCCUUAGAUGUCCUGGGCCGCACGCGCGCUACAAUGACUUGCUCAGAAAGUUUUUCCUGGCUCGGAAGGGUUCAGGGUAAUCUUUGUAAUACAAGUCGUGUUAGGGAUCGAUCUUUGCAAUUAUAGAUCUUGAACGAGGAAUGCCUAGUAAGUGCAGUUCAUCAGGCUGUACUGAUUACGUCCCUGCCCUUUGUACACACCGCCCGUCGCUCCUACCGAUUGAAUGUUCCGGUGAGCUCUUCGGACUGCGCGGUCUGCAGUUUCUGCGUUCCGUGCGGAAAGUUGCGCAAACCUUAACAUUUAGAGGAAGGAGAAGUCGUAACA